Molecule: transfer RNA, 85 nt
Filed under: Felis catus (domestic cat)
Lineage: Eukaryota; Metazoa; Chordata; Mammalia; Carnivora; Felidae
Also listed under: 2 other names
Rfam family: tRNA
About the family: Transfer RNA (tRNA) molecules are approximately 80 nucleotides in length.
Source: Rfam by way of RNAcentral
ACCUGGGUGGCUCAGUCGGUUGAGCAGCUGACUUCAGCUCAGGUCAUGAUCUCACCACUUGUGAGUUCCAGUCCCACCUCAGGCU